Oncorhynchus tshawytscha (Chinook salmon) is the source of this 809-nucleotide long non-coding RNA. The record is from Ensembl. NCBI's taxonomy places the organism in Eukaryota, Metazoa, Chordata, Actinopteri, Salmoniformes, Salmonidae.
GCUGGAUACUGGUGAAAAAGCAGCUGAAUGAUGUUGGCAGUGAUAUUCAAGGUAGAGGAGCUGCUUUCUCAACUGCAGUAUGUACUGGAGACUCGUGAGGUUAACUGGAAGCAUGUGCUCUCCUGUCUCUCCACCCUGCUCGUGUACAAUCCAAACACCCAGCCAAGCCUCAAAGCCCCAGUGUCAGGCAGGUCAGGAUGUGGACAAGGCAGUCUCUUUGUUUGAGAGCACAGGAAGGAUAUCUGCCACAGUCAUCAUGGAGGGCUGCAUGUUCAGAAGGCCAUAUUUCCCGACCCGGUUUCUCCUUGCCCUCCUAACUCCACGUGUGAGUUGUCUGGCCAGGAUCUUCCACACGCUGAGUAUUGUGUUCCCUGAAUGUGCUGAGGAACUGGUUGGCCAGACAAUCAUCAAGCUUCAUGUAGAUGAGUCGACUUCCCCUGAGCUGCACAAUAAAGUCGGAAGGAAUGCCAGGAACUGCCAACUCUCCUCCUGUCUCUGCAUUUCUCCUUCUCUUCUACUGUUUUUCUCCUCUGCUCUGUCUCAACUAUUUAGUUUCCUACUCUAUUUGUCUGUCGUUCUAGUUAUUUCUGAUGCAACACUCACUGUUUCGGUCUCUCACACUGUCUGUCUGUCCUGUCUAUGUUCAGGUGGAGAACAUGAUCCUCAGGAGCUUCUGCCAGAGACUUUUGGACGCCUCCGGAAAUAAGCCCACCGAAUAAUACAGAAUUGUCACUACUUGAUUUUCUUUCCAGUCCAUCUGCACAUAGUUGUGUAUAUUAUGUUCUUCUUAGCCUCCACAAGUGUAACUG